RNAcentral lists this microRNA (21 nucleotides) under Saccoglossus kowalevskii. RNAcentral describes it as "Sko-Mir-4839_3p* (star (passenger))". The record is from RNAcentral. Lineage: Eukaryota; Metazoa; Hemichordata; Enteropneusta; Harrimaniidae.
CAGAUAGUGGUAAGACUUGAC